UGAGUUUGAUCAUGGCUCAGGACGAACGCUGGCGGCGUGCUUAACACAUGCAAGUCGAACGGGAUCCGAUGCUGUUUUGUGUUUGGGUGAGAGUGGCGAACGGGUGAGUAACACGUGAGUAACCUGCCCCCUUCUUUUGGAUAACCGCAUGAAAGUGUGGCUAAUACGAGAUAAUCCAUUUGGGUCGCAUGGCCUGUUUGGGAAAUGCUUUGUUGUGGUGGGGGAUGGGCUCGCGGCCUAUCAGCUUGUUGGUGGGGUGAUGGCCUACCAAGGCGGUGACGGGUAGCCGGCCUGAGAGGGUGGGCGGUCACACUGGGACUGAGAUACGGCCCAGACUCCUACGGGAGGCAGCAGUGGGGGAUUUUGCACAAUGGGCGCAAGCUUGAUGCAGCGACGCCGCGUGGGGGAUGAGGGCCUUCGGGUUGUAAACCUCUUUCGCUGGGUUGAAAGGCCACGCAUGGGUGUGGUUGAUUUGAACUGGUAAAGAAGUA
Molecule: ribosomal RNA, 491 nt
Filed under: uncultured Actinomyces sp.
Lineage: Bacteria; Bacillati; Actinomycetota; Actinomycetes; Actinomycetales; Actinomycetaceae
Description: bacterial SSU rRNA
Rfam family: Bacterial small subunit ribosomal RNA
Source: RNAcentral